Molecule: ribosomal RNA, 643 nt
Filed under: Escherichia coli
Lineage: Bacteria; Pseudomonadati; Pseudomonadota; Gammaproteobacteria; Enterobacterales; Enterobacteriaceae
Description: partial 23S ribosomal RNA
Rfam family: Bacterial large subunit ribosomal RNA
Source: RNAcentral
UGGUGGGUAGUUUGACUGGGGCGGUCUCCUCCUAAAGAGUAACGGAGGAGCACGAAGGUUGGCUAAUCCUGGUCGGACAUCAGGAGGUUAGUGCAAUGGCAUAAGCCAGCUUGACUGCGAGCGUGACGGCGCGAGCAGGUGCGAAAGCAGGUCAUAGUGAUCCGGUGGUUCUGAAUGGAAGGGCCAUCGCUCAACGGAUAAAAGGUACUCCGGGGAUAACAGGCUGAUACCGCCCAAGAGUUCAUAUCGACGGCGGUGUUUGGCACCUCGAUGUCGGCUCAUCACAUCCUGGGGCUGAAGUAGGUCCCAAGGGUAUGGCUGUUCGCCAUUUAAAGUGGUACGCGAGCUGGGUUUAGAACGUCGUGAGACAGUUCGGUCCCUAUCUGCCGUGGGCGCUGGAGAACUGAGGGGGGCUGCUCCUAGUACGAGAGGACCGGAGUGGACGCAUCACUGGUGUUCGGGUUGUCAUGCCAAUGGCACUGCCCGGUAGCUAAAUGCGGAAGAGAUAAGUGCUGAAAGCAUCUAAGCACGAAACUUGCCCCGAGAUGAGUUCUCCCUGACUCCUUGAGAGUCCUGAAGGAACGUUGAAGACGACGACGUUGAUAGGCCGGGUGUGUAAGCGCAGCGAUGCGUUGAGCUAACC